Molecule: ribosomal RNA, 301 nt
Filed under: uncultured bacterium
Lineage: Bacteria
Description: partial 16S ribosomal RNA
Rfam family: Bacterial small subunit ribosomal RNA
Source: RNAcentral
CAGCCGCCACGGUAAUACAGAGGGUGCGAGCGUUAAUCGGAUUUACUGGGCGUAAAGCGUGCGUAGGCGGCUUUUUAAGUCGGAUGUGAAAUCCCUGAGCUUAACUUAGGAAUUGCAUUCGAUACUGGGAAGCUAGAGUAUGGGAGAGGAUGGUAGAAUUCCAGGUGUAGCGGUGAAAUGCGUAGAGAUCUGGAGGAAUACCGAUGGCGAAGGCAGCCAUCUGGCCUAAUACUGACGCUGAGGUACGAAAGCAUGGGGAGCAAACAGGAUUAGAUACCCGAGUAGUCCCUGUCUCUUUACC